GACGAACGCUGGCGGUGUGCUUAACACAUGCAAGUCGAACGGUAAGGCCCUUUCGGGGGUACACGAGUGGCGAACGGGUGAGUAACACGUGAGUAACCUGCCCUCAUCUCUGGGAUAACAGUCGGAAACGGUUGCUAAUACUGGAUAUGAGCUUGCAAGGCAUCUUUUGGGUUGGAAAGAUUUUUUUGGGUUGGGGAUGGACUCGCGGCCUAUCAGCUUGUUUGUGUGGUGGUGGCGCAUCAAGGCUUCGACGGGUAGCCGGCCUCAGAGUGCGACCGGCCACAUUGGGACUGAGAUACAGCGCAAACUCCUACGGGAGGCAGCAGUGGGGAAUAUUGCACAAUGGACGGAAGUCUGAUGCAGCAACGCCGCGUGCGGGAUGACGGCCUUCGGGUUGUAAACCGCUGUCAAUUGUGACGAAGCUUUUUUGUGACGGUAGCAGUAGAAGAAGCACCGGCUAACUACGUG
This 468-nucleotide ribosomal RNA is filed under the name uncultured bacterium. Its description in RNAcentral is "partial 16S ribosomal RNA". It matches the Rfam family "Bacterial small subunit ribosomal RNA", at positions 28 to 507 of the family's 1533-position model. The record is from RNAcentral.